AUUGAACGCUGGCGGCAUGCCUUACACAUGCAAGUCGAACGGCAGCACGGGAGCAAUCCUGGUGGCGAGUGGCGAACGGGUGAGUAAUAUAUCGGAACGUGCCCAGUCGUGGGGGAUAACGUAGCGAAAGCUACGCUAAUACCGCAUACGAUCUAUGGAUAAAAGCGGGGGGUCGCAAGACCUCGCGCGAUUGGAGCGGCCGAUAUCAGAUUAGGUAGUUGGUGAGGUAAAGGCUCACCAAGCCGACGAUCUGUAGCUGGUCUGAGAGGACGACCAGCCACACUGGAACUGAGACACGGUCCAGACUCCUACGGGAGGCAGCAGUGGGGAAUUUUGGACAAUGGGCGCAAGCCUGAUCCAGCAAUGCCGCGUGCAGGAUGAAGGCCUUCCGGUUGUAAACUGCUUUUGUACGGAACGAAACGGUGAGCUCUAAUACAGUUUGCUAAUGACGGUACCGUAAGAAUAAGCACCGGCUAACUACGUGCCAGCCGCCGCCGUAA
RNAcentral lists this ribosomal RNA (500 nucleotides) under uncultured bacterium. RNAcentral's name for it is "partial 16S ribosomal RNA". It matches the Rfam family "Bacterial small subunit ribosomal RNA", at positions 30 to 523 of the family's 1533-position model. The record is from RNAcentral.